RNAcentral lists this long non-coding RNA (250 nucleotides) under Nicotiana benthamiana. Its description in RNAcentral is "long non-coding RNA (NBEN_LNC019660)". The record is from RNAcentral. Lineage: Eukaryota; Viridiplantae; Streptophyta; Magnoliopsida; Solanales; Solanaceae.
CAGGUUCUAUGCUGAUGUGGAAAGCAUACUCGAUGUUACCUUUGGAAGCUUCAGACCAAUUGCUGAUACCCAAUUUUUCCCUAUAUAUUUUAUAAUCAAACUAUUCUCAAAAAUAGCAUAUAGAAGUAUCCACAGAGGUAUUAGUUUUUUUUCCACAUUUUUUAAGAAUUUGUAAAUCGAUUUAUGACCUAUUUUUGCACUACAAAAUCCAAUAAUUAUUCCCAAAGUUUGUUAUUUUGAUAAAUAAUUU